AGUGAACGCUGGCGGCAGGCCUAACACAUGCAAGUCGAGCGGCAGCGGGUCCUUCGGGAUGCCGGCGAGCGGCGGACGGGUGAGGAAUGCAUCGGAAUCUGCCCUGUCGUGGGGGAUAACCUAGGGAAACUUAGGCUAAUACCGCAUACGACCCACGGGUGAAAGCGGGGGAUCGCAAGACCUCGCGCGAUAGGAUGAGCCGAUGUCCGAUUAGCUAGUUGGCGGGGUAAAGGCCCACCAAGGCGACGAUCGGUAGCUGGUCUGAGAGGAUGAUCAGCCACACUGGGACUGAGACACGGCCCAGACUCCUACGGGAGGCAGCAGUGGGGAAUAUUGGACAAUGGGCGCAAGCCUGAUCCAGCCAUGCCGCGUGGGUGAAGAAGGCCUUCGGGUUGUAAGCCCUUUUGUCCGGGAAGAAAUCGUCUGGGCUAAUACCCCGGGCGGAUGACGGUACCGGAAGAAUAAGCACCGGCUAACUUCGUG
Molecule: ribosomal RNA, 483 nt
Filed under: uncultured bacterium
Lineage: Bacteria
Description: partial 16S ribosomal RNA
Rfam family: Bacterial small subunit ribosomal RNA
Source: RNAcentral